GGGAGCAGCUCGGGGGGGGUCUCUUCACCCCCAUCUCCUCCACCCGCGCCUCGUAAAUCCCGUUCAGGGCCAGGUUCCCCAGCGAGCACAUCAGCUGGGGACCCCAAAACCACCCAGAAUCACCCCAAAAUUACCCCAAAUCACCUGGGGACCCCAAAAUACCCCCAAAUCACCCCCAAAUCAGCUGGGGAACCCCAAAAACAUCAGCAAAACACCCCAAAAUCAGCUGGGAAACCCCGAAUUCCCCCCAAAAAUCCCCUCAAGAUCCCCCAAAUUCCCUCCAAAGCCCCUCCCAGUCCCUCCCAGUAUAAUCCAGUAACCCCCAGUUCUCUCCCAGUCCAUCCCAGUUUAUCCCAGUUUGAUCCCAGUUUAUCCUAGUCCAUCCCAGUAUAAUCCAGUAACCCCCAUUUCUCUCCCAGUCCAUCCCAGUCCACCCCAGUAUAACCCAGUCCAUCCCAGUUCCAUCCCAGUCCAUCCCAGUUUAUCCCAGUUUGAUCCCAGUCCCUCCCAGUUUGAUCCCAGUCCAUCCCAGUUUGAUCCCAGUCCAUCCCAGUUUGAUCCCAGUUUAUCCCGUCCAUCCCAGUCCACCCCAGUAUAACCCAGUCCAUCCCAGUCCCUCCCAAUCCCUCCCAGUCCCUCCCAGUUUGAUCCCAGUCCAUCCCAGUCCCUCCCAAGUCCAUCCCAGUUCCCUCCCAGUCCAUCCCAGUCCAUCCCAGUUUGAUCCCAGUUUAUCCCAGUGCUCCCCAGUUCCCUCCCAGUAUAACCCAGUCCAUCCCAGUUCCGUCUGUUUAUUCCCAGUUCCAUCCCAGUCCAUCCCAGUUUAUCCCAGUUUGAUCCCAGUCCAUCCCAGUCCAUCCCAGUAUAACCCAGUCUCUCCCAGUCCCUCCCAGUUUGAUCCCAGUCCAUCCCAGUUCCCCCCAGUCCCCGCCCACCUUCACCAGUUCGGGUUCCCACGAGUCGAGGGUGAGCGACCGAACCUUGGAGAAGUGAACGCCCAAAC
RNAcentral lists this long non-coding RNA (1000 nucleotides) under Zonotrichia albicollis (white-throated sparrow). RNAcentral describes it as "lncRNA (ENSZALG00000000261.1)". Lineage: Eukaryota; Metazoa; Chordata; Aves; Passeriformes; Passerellidae. The record is from RNAcentral.